This is an RNA transcript of Zea mays, 2040 nucleotides long. RefSeq lists it as uncharacterized. The transcript has 3 exons. The record is from RefSeq and is a predicted model, not a curated record. Lineage: Eukaryota; Viridiplantae; Streptophyta; Magnoliopsida; Poales; Poaceae.
AAAAAGGUUCCGGUCUUCAUCCCUUCCAUUUCCAAAGGACGACGCUCUCACCAUUCACGAACGGCGACUGCGGAUCGAUCGUGCGUCGUCUCCUGCGCCGGCCUCCCUUCCAGUCAGACCAAAAAAGGCUCUGUGGUUAGACUUAGACGCAGAAAUGCGAAAACGGAGAGGCGAGCUCGGCCCGUGCUCGCUCACCUCGGCGCGACGGAGUGGGCGGGGACGGCGCCCGCUGGCAGGAGUGAGAGUGGGAGCUGGGGCGCCGUUGCUUCGCCGGUGCUCGCGACCCACCGCCGUGCAGCAUCGCUUCCGCCUCCGCUUCUCCUGUCUUAAUAUAAAGCAUACAAACAUGUAAAAACCACAUAUCAUUCGUUUCAGCAACAAGUUUCAGAUAGUGUCUUCAGUGCCAUGGCGCCGCUACGCCAGGGAGCAAGUCGGUCCGCCAUGGCUGGGUGGGGCAUGUACCACGGACUGAAACAUAAACCAACGCAAAUCCAAUGAUUGUAAAACAUCAGUUUCGAUGGACAAAAAUAUUUUCCUAUGGAAUAUAUUACAUACUAGACUGACUAUUAAAUUCUAAAAUUCGUUUACAGGUUCAAACAAGGGACGAUACGCAUCGGACAAGAAAUGGACAUCAAAUCCUCCGAGAACUAAAGUUUCACUCAGAUCUUCGUCGACCUUUUGAGUUGCACAAUGUCUAUUUUGCAACAUAUGUAUAAUUAUAUAUGAUGACCUACUCAGCUCUUUGAAAACAAUUUAUGUAAAUAUAACAGCUUAAUUCUACGUAGUGGACAAAAAUGUUGACUCUGAUUACAGCUCAGAUAACUCUAUUUCAUAUAAACAUAUAGCAUCUGCAGUAAUUAAAUUAGAAAAAAUUUCUAACGCGCGCAGGGCGCGCGCCAGUGACUAGUAUUUGUUAGGUCCUCGCAGAUGCUAGCAAGAUGAUAGUGUUGUAGCAUGGAGGACCAUUGUCUCUAGUGUCUGAAAUACGAGACUGGCAUGCAGGUCGAUGUCUGAGCACAGAGCUCGGAAGAUGUGCGUAUCAACCAAUAGGCUGUGGCUGUGCCUGCAAGAUGCCCUGAAGGACGCGCUUCUUGAAAAGUCAGAACUGCAAAGGUGCGCAAACCAAACCUCUGAUUGAAUGCUUCCAUGGCUCAUAGUCCCUAGAUUCUUGUCUCUAUCUGAUAGCCCAUUGUUUACCAUUGUCCGUUCAUGUGUCAGCUUUGCUGCAUCUGAUCACAAUGAUCUCUCAGCUUGUUGUAACAUCGUCUUGACCAUUGUCCAUUGCGCUCAUAUCAGCUACAUACAUGGUUGAAAAACUUGUUAUAAAAAUGUGCCAUUUCAAACACGGAUUCGAUUGUAAUUUGAAAAGUUAAUUUAUACUGUAUUAUCUGAUGCAUCAUUCACUGGAGAAUGGGGGAUAACAGGAUUCGGGCUAAGAACAUCCAUUCUUUUCACCGUGUAUCUCUUUGCAAUCUCAGCCAUUCGAUCUACUAUACUAUCCAUAGAACAUAUUCCAAAGGAGAUAAGCAGCCGGUGCACGCCCCUUGGGAGCCAAAGGAAUAUAUCUGUGUGGGUAUAUGUAGCUUUUCAUCUCCAAUGAUCCUGGAAAGGGAAUUGACUACAUUCCAAUCUUUUCCCCUGCUUGUUCAUGAAAUUCACGAUGUCACAUGAUUUACCGCCACUUAGAUCUGUCAAAAGGCUGCCAUUUCUUCGUUCAGGUGUAUGGGCGUGGAAGGUUUGCAUCCAUCGGAUGUGUUGGACCAGCAUGUUGUAGUUUUGAUUCGUGCUGCGUGCAUCGAGCCAUCAGGAGAUCUCUGCAUCGGAAUCAUAUCUGCACAAAGCCGUCGGAAAGAUGCAGGAUUCCCACUGAUAUUUUGAACCAUCAUCCAGGAGGCUAGGUAUUAGAUUUUAUAUAUACGUGGUCUGUAUUUUGAUUAAUUAAAUCAAAUCAAUCUUAUACCUGGUCUGUGUUUUGUUUAAUUAAAUCAAAUAAAUCUUAAGUUUAUAUUAAAUGUGAUGGUGUUAUUACCUGUUUGUUUA